AACCCAUGGUGAGGGCACCUUAUCAAUAAGUCCUUGUAUCUCACCCAUGCAUCGUAGAGGGUUUCUAAAUCCAUUUGUACAAAAGAACAAAUAUCAUUACGUAAUUU
Small nucleolar RNA from Gossypium arboreum, 107 nucleotides. It matches the Rfam family "Plant small nucleolar RNA R71". Rfam says of the family: R71 is a member of the C/D box family of snoRNAs containing the C (UGAUGA) and D (CUGA) box motifs. Multiple nearly identical copies of this snoRNA have been identified in Arabidopsis, and it is thought to function as a 2'-O-ribose methylation guide for 18S ribosomal RNA. The record is from Rfam. Lineage: Eukaryota; Viridiplantae; Streptophyta; Magnoliopsida; Malvales; Malvaceae.